RNAcentral lists this ribosomal RNA (448 nucleotides) under uncultured bacterium. RNAcentral describes it as "bacterial SSU rRNA". It matches the Rfam family "Bacterial small subunit ribosomal RNA", at positions 329 to 794 of the family's 1533-position model. The record is from RNAcentral.
CUCCAGACUCCUACGGGAGGCAGCAGUGGGGAAUAUUGCGCAAUGGGGGAAACCCUGACGCAGCAACGCCGCGUGCGGGAUGAAGGCUUUCGGGUUGUAAACCGCUUUCAGCAGGGAAGAUAAUGACGGUACCUGCAGAAGAAGCCCCGGCUAACUACGUGCCAGCAGCCGCGGUAAUACGUAGGGGGCAAGCGUUGUCCGGAUUUACUGGGUGUAAAGGGCGUGUAGCCGGGCCGGCAAGUCAGAUGUGAAAUCCCAAGGCUCAACCUUGGAACUGCAUUUGAAACUGUUGGUCUUGAGUAUCGGAGAGGCAGGCGGAAUUCCUGGUGUAGCGGUGAAAUGCGUAGAUAUUAGGAGGAACACCAGUGGCGAAGGCGGCCUGCUGGACGACAACUGACGGUGAGGCGCGAAAGCGUGGGGAGCAAACAGGAUUAGAUACCCCAGUAGU